This 6459-nucleotide long non-coding RNA is filed under the name Cricetulus griseus (Chinese hamster). RNAcentral's name for it is "lncRNA (ENSCGRG00015038240.1)". The record is from RNAcentral. Lineage: Eukaryota; Metazoa; Chordata; Mammalia; Rodentia; Cricetidae.
GUUUGGCCAAUGAGACAGCAAGUAGACGGGACUAGGAGUCAAAGAGGAUUCUGGGAAAUGUAGUAGAGAAGUGAUGAUCCAGGCAGGAAGUGACACAGCAAGGAGACUCAUACUUAAGUGAAGGAGAAAGAGGAAGGCCCUCUUUUCCCCUCAGCUCCUGCUCCAGCGGCACGAUGUGAUCCACCAGCAAGGAGGGACGCCAAUAAGGCGUCCGAUAAGAUAAGUCUUAUAACAUAUAUAGAUUUAUGAUAGUUAAGACUGAGCUAACAGAUGAGAAUCCUAGUCAUUGGCCAAGCAGCUUUGUACCUAAUACAAGUUUCUGUGUAUUCAUUUGGGCCCAACUCGGGCAGGCGGCUGUCGUAAAGCUCACACAUGGCGGUGGGGCUCGGCGGCUUUUGGCAGAAAGAUUUAUCGUAACAAGGGCCUUGGACCAUGUGAUGGAAUAUCUCCACUCUCACUGUUUGCAGGCUUCAGAACUGGAGCAAGUUCCCAACCCACUCCACCUCUUUGCGUAUGUGCAGAAUGAACAUAUUUAUCUCCAGAGACUGGGAUAAUAUAAAUAAAGUCCUUGACCUUCAGAAGAUUCCCAUCUUCCACCAACAGGGCUGACCUUAUAAACAUUCUCAUCCGAAGCUUGCCUGAAGUUAGACAUACACUAUCACAGGACACCAGCAUGGACUACAAACACAACUCCAUGCUGUGGUGAAGACUAGAUUCUUGACUGUACCACAGAAAACAAUUUGGGGUCCUACCUGCCUGUGCAAAGCAGACUUGGGGCUUAUCAGGAAGAGAUUUUAGCAUAGAUCCAAGCAAGGCAGUUAAGAAAGAGAUGCUCAAAGAAACAAGAUAACACAACCCAAGCUUGUGAGUGUGGCUUCUCAAGAGAGGUUGCUCUUGGUGCCUUAGCUGGAAUAGGAAUUUCAAGUCUUGACAUUUUCAAAGAUUUUCUAAGAAACUCCUCUUUACUCUCCUUUGUUCCAGUUUUUGAUAAAUGAAGUUAUAGAAUAGCUCAGCCUUAGACAAAAUUACAAUAUGAUCCUGUUAAAUCAUGAGUCACAAAGGUAGGACAAGAAGAUGAAGAUGUGUUUUUUACUGUAAAUGGGGGUCCUCGAAAAAUUCCUAGAAAUCAUCAGGUUAACAGCUUGAGAAGGGAAAAAGCCAUACAUGCUUAGGCCUUAAGCAUAAUUCAUUGCUAUUUUAACAGUUUUACUUGAAAAUCCAUAUAAAAGGAGUAUUGUCUACAUGCAGCCAGCCUUCACAGCAAGUGUUAAUUGUGCUGGAAUUCCUGCCUCUGAGCUGGCACUGAAUUUGUUGUUUCUCCUGAGCUCACCGCCACUCCAGCUCUCCUGAUACAACUAGCUGUCCAGGAAUUCCAUUCAGAUCUGUAUGGAAGAGGCUUAUUCCCAAGACCGCCCCUAUCCCAGCUGCCACCUGCAGCUUAUUUCUCAUUGGCUAUCAGUCAGGCUUUCCCUGGCCCCAUUCUCAUACUGAUGAUUUCUAAAAUGAUCUCAUAAGAAUUUAUGGAAGUGCUAUAGUAACUAUUACCAGUUUAUAGUAAAGGGUAUUUUUUUGUAUGUAAAUUGCUAGCCAAGAGAACGGACACAUGGGGUGAGGUUCUGGAAUGGACUUGAGUGACCCAGUGACCUCACGAGGGUUGCGUUUGCUGAUGUAACAGCCCAAACCCCAUUGUUCAGAGUGGAAAAAGCACACAGCAGAGCAAACUUCUCACCUCAUUGUUCAGGAAGAGGAGCAGAAGGAGGGAACCAAAAGAAAAGGAGAGGCAGAAGGAAGAAGAUGGAGAAAAGAGGGAGAAGCAUUGACAAUGAAAAAGUGGAAAGGAGGGAGAAGUGGGGGAGGAAGAGAUGGAGAGAAACGGAGGAAUACGAAGCAGAGGAGGAGAGACGUUCUACCACCUCCUAGUUGGACCACACCGGGGCCCAAACUUUUAGCACACAGACUUUUGAAAGGAAAUUGACCACGAAACCAUAGGAAAGCAGUGUGCCGGGCUGCUCUCAAACGGCAGAACCUGUGCCUUCAGUCAUGACUUCAUUGUCUACUUCGUAACUUGUCAGACAACUUGAAGUGUGUGUGUGUGUGUGUGUGUGUGUGUGUGUGUGUGUGUGAGAGAGAGAGAGAGAGAGAGAGAGAGAGAGAGAGAGAGAGAGAGAGAGAGAGAGAGAGAAUGAGAGAGAGCAUGAGAGAGAGCAUGAGAGAGAGGGGGAAGGAGGGAGAGAGAUUGUGUUCACUAGGGGCUCAAAGUUAGAGCUAUAUUGAAUGUUAUUUCAUUGUAGUUUAAAUGAGGAAGAAGCUGUGUUUAAGUGUAGUUUGAAAAUUAAACAAGAUAAUGAACACAACAAAACCCCCUAAGACUCGGGGAACAUCAUGGGAGGUACAUCAUGGGAGGUACUGAGAAAGGGUAGUGGGGAAUUAAAAUGGACCAAAAUGCAUUGCAUACAUGUGUGAAAUACCAACGAAUUUUUAAAAAGAAAUCAAGACAAUAAUCUCAUUUACAACAGCUAUUAAAAAUAUUUAGGGAUCCUGAGCAAUGGUAGGACACACCUUUCGUCUCAGCCCUCACACGGGAGGCAGAGGCAGGUGGGUUUCUGUGAGUUUGGGACCAGCCUGGUCUACAAAGAGAGUUCCAGGACAGUCAGAGCUGUUACACAGACAAACCCUGUCUUGAAAUACCAGUAAAAUAAAUUAAAAAGAUAUUUAGGGAUGAAUUUGACUGAAGAGACUUAAAAAACCUUAUCCACUGAAAACUAUAAAAUCUUAGGACUAUAAAUAGAUGAAGACAGAAAUAGAAAGAUAACCUGUGUUCACAACUGAAUUGUUAAUGUUAAGAAAUUUAUGUUACCCAAAGCAGACUACAGAUUAAAUGCAAUCCCCAUCACAAUUCCAAUAACAUUUUUCACAGAAAUAAAAAAGAUGAUCCUAAAAUUCAUCUAGAAACCACAAAAUAAGAUCAAAAGUUAAGGUGAUCUUGAGCAAAAAGAACAAAGCCAGAGGCAUUUGUUUCUGAUUUCAAAUUGUGCUAAAAGCUCUAAUAACUAAAAUAGCAUGGUAAUGACACAAAAAUCUAUACUAUGGCCAGUGGAACACAACAGAUUUCCAAGAAAUAAGCCCUCACAUUUGUGGUCCACUGACAUAACAGGAAAAAGAGAUGUUCUCUGUAAUAAAGAGAAUAAGGAAAACCAGAUAGAUGCAAAAGAAUCGAAUUAGGCCUCAAUCUUAUAUCAUGUGAAAAGUUAAUACAAAACUGAAGCUGGGUCCUAUGGUGUAUUCCUUGGAUUCUAGCAUUUGAGACAGAGGGAGGCAGAUGUCUGAAUUCAAGGACAGCCUGCCUGACAUAGCGAGUUACAGAAUAGCCAAUGUCACAUAGAGAUACUUUCUCAGAACAACAACAAUAACAAAUUAAUACAAAAUUGAUUUUAAGUUUAGACAUGAGAUAUAAAACUAUAACAUUAGCCGGGCAGUGGUGGUGCAUGCCUUUAAUCCCAGCACUUGGGAGGCAGAGGCAGGUGGAUCUAUGUGAGUUCAAGACCAGCCUGGUCUACAAGAGCUAGUUCCAGGACGGCCUCUAAAGCCACAGAAAAACCCUGUCUCGAAAAACCAAAACAAAAAACAAACAAACAAACAAAAAAAAAACUGUAGCAUUCUAUAGCAUUACUAGAAGAAAACAUAGAUCUGAGCAUAUGGCUGGUAAAGGGUCAAUGUCUAAAGUGGAUAUGGAACUGAAAUUACUCAAUAGUAAGAAAAAUAACAUUUUUUUAAAUGAGCAAGACCCUUGCUCAAAAGAAGACUAUGAAUGGUUAAUUUUUAUGAAAAAAAUUCUCAAAAUCACUAUUAGAGAAACGAAAGUUAGACCCAUAGGGAGAAGGCAUUUAUAAUUAAAAAGAAACAAAUAAUCAGAACAAAACAAAGCACUAGGAAUAAGUAACUCCUGAGAACUCAGCUCUACAUGGCACAUCUACAUCACACUCUCCGAGACUCAGGAGCAUCCCAGAAGAAAAGGAAAAUGCACAAGUGAGAUACUGUGAAACGCUGUCUUCAGACAUAGUGUGGCUUUUGCACUUAUGACUUCACAACAGCUGAAGUUACCUGCACCAGAUGGACCCCAUCAUCAGAGAUGGGGGGUAGGCUCCUAAGGCUCACCUCUUCCUGAGCAAUGCUGCAAGUUAAUGGUUGCUGGGGAAGGGCAAUUUUUUUCCACCAGUGUUUUUGUUAUUUGCAACACAGGUGAAAUGUGGAGAAACACCAUUUCACAUAAUACAGAGCACCAGGUAUAAGUACCACACAUGUCUAAGUACCACACCUCCUCACUUAGGUGCAGAAUCUGAAAAGGCAAACUCACAGGAGAAAGUUGGAUGGUGGUUACCCCAGGGUUGGAGGGAUGGAAAGAUGCUCGUUAAAAAGUACAGAGUGUCGGUUAUCCCAAAGAAACAGUUUUGAGAUUAAUUAUAUAGGGGGUAACAGUUAACAACACUGUGGCUUAUAUUCAAAUUGCUAACCGAGUAAAAUUCAGUUGUCCUAACCACAGAAAAUGAUAAGUGCUUUUGAUGACAGAUUGCUAUUUAGUUUGAUUUAGUUAUUCCACAUUAUACAUAUAAAUUUUACAGCAAAUUAUUAUUUGACAAACCAUUACAGCUUUUCUCUAUGUAGAAAAAUCAUGUAAGUGUCAAAGAAAAAAAUAACCCAUAAUCUUUCUAAUAUAUUUCCUUUCCAGAGUUCCUAAACCUUCUAAAUCAUAAAAAUGUUUCUACUUUUCCUGAAACUGGCAUCCCUUUAGCACAUUCUGUUUUAUAUUUUAUCUGUAAGUGAACAAGUCCUAAGUUGUCCUUUGAUACUGAAUAUCAGAACGACAGGCUGUUUCUUGUGCGUACCCACCUUUUAAAACUCUUUUAGACAUAAUUCAAUACUUUUCCCAGAGGAGAAUGAAUGAAUGAAUGAAUGAAUGUUUGAAUGACAAAAUUAACCUGGGGGCAGAUUCGCUUCCAGCCCAAGUCCUUUUGGUUAUUAGAGAAUGACAAGCCCAUCAAUGUACUCAAAGGGUGAAACAAAAGAGUUGCAGUGUGUGGUACACACUUAUAUCUUGGGAUCAGUGUGUGUGUGUGUGUGUGUGUGUGUGUGUGUGUGUGUGUGUGUGUGUUUAAACAGGGUCUCUCACUAAAUCCAAACCUUACCAGCUGGCUAGACAGGCUGUCCAGUGAAUUUCAAUAUCUGCCCAUCUCCACCCUCCCAGCACUAAGCUUACAGAUACCUACCACUAUGCCUGGCUUUUAUGUUGGGCUUUUGGGUCUGACUUGUGCAGCGAGACUUACCUAAUUGCCUUUUGCAAUUGUCCUUGUGACAGGAACCAAUCUGGAGACCUUUGGUUAAAAGGCUUGCUUUCUCUUAGAUUUGAUGUCUUUUUCUCUAAAGAAAAUAUAUGUGGAAAUUAAGUAAUAUGGCAAUUAAUAAAGUGUCCAUGCACAUAGAAGCAGCACUAAUUGGAUUCAGUUUAUUAAAAUAAAGACGACAUCAUGAAGAUGGAAGGAAGACAUAGUGUGUGCAUGGCCAGGGGCUGGGGAGGGGGUCUGGAAGGAUCUGGGGAUAUGCUCAGAAUAUGAUAUAUGUGAAAUAUAUAUAUAUAUAUACAUAUAUAUACGUAUAUAUGUGUAUAUACGUAUAUAUAUAUAUAUAUGAAAUUCUCCAAGAAUAAAUUUAAAAGUAUUUCAAUGUCUUACCUUCAUAAUAUAUAAAAAUAGCAUUUUAAAAAAAGCUAUCAUGAUUGUGCCUGCAGCAAGCACUUGCUCACAGAUGAUCAAAGCUCUGCCUCCAGGCCUGGCUUGCCCGUGACUGAGCCCUUGUGCAGCGCUGAGCUGGUCAUUGCUAGGUACCCAAGAUUCUUCCUCUCAAAUGACCAUGAACUCUCUUCUGGUUCAGUAUUACAUUUUUAUCUAUCUUCUCUGUGUGCUGCUGGAGUACCUGCUGUAUCUGGUAUCAACACACUUGCACCCCUGGCGAUUGUACUCCCCACCCUGACCCUUACCUGCAGUCACUGAUUCUACCAGCACGGACUCUCCUUGUCCUUUGCAGCACUGGCUCCUUGAGAAAAGAUGGCUAUCUGGACAGUGGACUCCAUGUUGUCAUUGGAAUUAAGGCAUCACUUUAUGUUUCUGUUCUGCACAGUUCCACUCAUUUCCUCUGAUUGGCAAGACUGGGGGAUUAUUAUUGCCACUUCAAGAGGCACUGAAGUGUACGUGUCACAUUUGUGCAGGAAUGGUUCCUUGUGAGGCUUCUGCCUGUUCUUGAUGGGUUUCACCACCUUUGGAAAACAAGUAGAGACCAUAAAUGGUUUUUUGGGGGCGGGGGAGGUAGUUGGUUCUUUGGGACAGGGUUUCUCUAUGUAGCCCUGGAACUCACUAUGUAGACCAGGCUAGCCUCAAACUCAGAGAUCUGCCUGGGAUUAAAGGUGUG